AUUCUUCGGAUGAAGACUUUUGUGACUGAGCGGCGGACGGGUGAGUAACGCGUAGGUAACCUGCCCCAUACAGAGGGAUAGCCACUGGAAACGGUGAUUAAUACCUCAUGACACUUUCUCUUCGCAUGGAGGGAAGGUCAAAGAUUUAUCGGUAUGGGAUGGACCUGCGUCUGAUUAGCUUGUUGGUGGGGUAACGGCCUACCAAGGCGACGAUCAGUAGCCGACCUGAGAGGGUGAUCGGCCACAUUGGAACUGAGACACGGUCCAAACUCC
RNAcentral lists this ribosomal RNA (273 nucleotides) under uncultured Eubacteriales bacterium. Its description in RNAcentral is "uncultured Clostridiales bacterium partial 16S ribosomal RNA". It matches the Rfam family "Bacterial small subunit ribosomal RNA", at positions 72 to 339 of the family's 1533-position model. Lineage: Bacteria; Bacillati; Bacillota; Clostridia; Eubacteriales. The record is from RNAcentral.